GAAGAAGAAGAAGAAGAAGGUAGAAGAAGAAGAAGAGGAAUAGGAAUAGGGAAGAAGAGUAGGGGUUGUACCACUCGUCCUCGGCCUCGGUUCGAAAGCCUCCCUCUCUUUGCUCACUCAGUCAGUGUGAGGAACGAACGGUACGAGGAGGGAGAGUUUGCCGCGCUAGCUGCCUUCCUUCCUCCUCGUCAGUUCCUCGCGAACCGCGAGCCGUGUAGUACUUUUCAAUUCGUUUUGUCAUCAAAAAAAGAUUUUACAAAAAAAGAAAACAGAAGAAGACAACGUAUUAACAUUUGUUUUUAUCAAUUAACGUAUAUUAACGAUGUUGGUUGUAUCAAAAUUUGCAAUCGAACGUUGUCCUCGAAAUUAUCGACGACUAUGCGAAUACGUUACGAUCGUUACGUGCGAGGACGACGUUCAAUGAGAGAAAGAAGGAUAAAAAAAGAAAGUUAAAGAGAAAAAGAAAAAGAAAAAAAAAAUAGAAAAGAAGAAAAUAUAUCUCGAUACAAUUUCGUAGGCGAAAAUAAAAAUAUGUACGUUCGACUAGUGACCUCGUCGUGUGCGUUUUAAAGAUUUGUGUUAAAACGAAGAAUUCGAUCCGAAGAGUUAGAAAAGAAUAGAAAAAGAAAACAAAAAAAAAAAAACAAAAAAAAUAGGAGAAAAAAGAUGGGAAAGUUAAAAACGAGAAGAAGAGGACAAGGAGAGAGGAGAGGGUGAUUUUCUUAAGAGAAAAGUUCCUGUGAUAGAUAUCGAAAAGUUUCGAACGAGACCAAGAAAAGGAGGUGGCGUAAAGUUAUUUUGCUUAAAAAAACCUGAAAAUUUCUGGAAGGAGUAAAUUUUUGAAGUUACCCUUAAAGAUUGCAACAGGGUGGCCUCAGGUUUUCUUUCUAAAAAUGGAGAAAGGUUAUGGAACAAAAUGUGCAUAAUAUCUCGAUUCGAACAUAAAUGGAGGUAGGCCACUUUCAAAAUAGGCGAUUCAUAUA
Molecule: long non-coding RNA, 983 nt
Filed under: Polistes dominula (European paper wasp)
Lineage: Eukaryota; Metazoa; Arthropoda; Insecta; Hymenoptera; Vespidae
Description: uncharacterized LOC107067070, transcript variant X2
Source: RNAcentral